This is a non-coding RNA of Schistosoma mattheei, 45 nucleotides long. The record is from Rfam. NCBI's taxonomy places the organism in Eukaryota, Metazoa, Platyhelminthes, Trematoda, Strigeidida, Schistosomatidae.
AUCCAACCGAUGAGUCUCAAAUAGGACAAAACGUACGUCCUGCAU